AUACGGAGGGUGCAAGCGUUACUCGGAAUCACUGGGCGUAAAGCGCGCGCAGGCGGCUAUUUAAGUUGGAUGUGAAAGCCUACGGCUCAACCGUAGAACUGCAUCCAAAACUAUUUAGCUAGAGUGUGAGAGAGGAAGAUGGAAUUAGUUGUGUAGGGGUAAAAUCCGUAGAGAUAACUAGGAAUACCAAAAGCGAAGGCAAUCUUCUGGAACACUACUGACGCUGAGGCGCGAAAGCGUGGGGAGCAAACAGAAUUAGAUACCCUAGUAGUCC
This 274-nucleotide ribosomal RNA is filed under the name uncultured bacterium. RNAcentral describes it as "partial 16S ribosomal RNA". It matches the Rfam family "Bacterial small subunit ribosomal RNA", at positions 523 to 796 of the family's 1533-position model. The record is from RNAcentral.